RNAcentral lists this ribosomal RNA (254 nucleotides) under uncultured bacterium. RNAcentral's name for it is "partial 16S ribosomal RNA". It matches the Rfam family "Bacterial small subunit ribosomal RNA", at positions 524 to 776 of the family's 1533-position model. The record is from RNAcentral.
UACGUAGGGGGCUAGCGUUGUCCGGAAUCAUUGGGCGUAAAGCGCGUGUAGGCGGUCCGGUAAGUCCGCUGUGAAAGUCGGGGGGCUCAACCCUCGGAUGCCGGUGGAUACUGUCGGGCUUGAGUACGGAAGAGGCGAGUGGAAUCCUGGUGUAGCGGUGAAAUGCGCAGAUAUCAAGGAGGAACACCAAUUGCGAAGGCAGCUCGCUGGGACGUUACUGACGCUGAGACGCGAAAGCGUGGGGAGCAAACAGG